UCAUAUUGCCUCUAAAAUAUUAUUUUUUAUGGCAAUUCAUUAUUUCUAAGACGAGGAGAAUAAGAGAUAUUUAGUGAACAUGUAUGUUAGGCCGAUAAGCCGCCCAUUAACCGCCCUAUAAGAGCUAACCCGAUACCAAUCCGCCCGAUAUCUUAUCGGGUGGCUAACGGAUUAAACAUUUAAAAGCCGAAAACCGUUAAGCCAAAC
Molecule: long non-coding RNA, 207 nt
Filed under: Nicotiana benthamiana
Lineage: Eukaryota; Viridiplantae; Streptophyta; Magnoliopsida; Solanales; Solanaceae
Description: long non-coding RNA (NBEN_LNC005298)
Source: RNAcentral